CUACGGGGAGCAGCAGUGAGGAAUUUUGCGCAAUGGGGGGAACCCUGACGCAGCAACGCCGUGUGAGUGAAGAAGGCCUUUGGGUCGUAAAGCUCUGUCAACUGGGAAGAAGUUACUGUGCUUUAAUAGAGUGCAGUAUUGACGGUACCAGUGGAGGAAGCGUCGGCUAACUCCGUGCCAGCAGCCGCGGUAACACGGGUGACGCAAGCGUUAUUCGGAAUUAUUGGGCGUAAAGGGCGCGUAGGCGGUCUUGUCGGUCAGGUGUGAAAGCCCGGGGCUCAACCCCGGACGUGCACUUGAAACAGCAAGACUUGAGUACGGGAGAGGAAAGCGGAAUUCCUGGUGUAGAGGUGAAAUUCGUAGAUAUCAGGAGGAACACCGAUGGCGAAGGCAGCUUUCUGGACCGAAACUGACGCUGAGGCGCGAAGGCGUGGGUAGCGAACGGGAUUAGAUACCCGGGUAGUC
RNAcentral lists this ribosomal RNA (465 nucleotides) under uncultured bacterium. RNAcentral describes it as "partial 16S ribosomal RNA". It matches the Rfam family "Bacterial small subunit ribosomal RNA", at positions 339 to 795 of the family's 1533-position model. The record is from RNAcentral.